UACAGAGGUGGCAAGCGUUGUUCGGAAUUACUGGGCGUAAAGGGCGCGUAGGCGGUUCGUUAAGUCCUGUGUGAAAUCCCCCGGCUCAACUGGGGAACUGCACAGGAAACUAGCGGGCUUGAGUUCGGGAGAGGGGUGCGGAAUUCCGGGUGUAGUGGUGAAAUGCGUAGAGAUCCGGAGGAACACCAGAGGCGAAGGCGGCACCCUGGCCUAAUACUGACACUGAGACGCGAAAGCAUGGGGAGCGAACGGG
This 253-nucleotide ribosomal RNA is filed under the name uncultured bacterium. RNAcentral describes it as "partial 16S ribosomal RNA". It matches the Rfam family "Bacterial small subunit ribosomal RNA", at positions 524 to 776 of the family's 1533-position model. The record is from RNAcentral.